UGGUUAGUGGCAGACGGGUGAGUAAUGCGUAGGAAUCUACCUAGUAGUACGGAAUAGCCAUUAGAAAUGGUGGGUAAUACUGUAUAAUCCCCGAGGGGGAAAGAUUUAUCGCUAUUAGAUGAGCCUACGUUAGAUUAGCUAGUUGGUGAGGUAAUGGCUUACCAAGGCUAUGAUCUAUAGCUGGUCUGAGAGGACGAUCAGCCACACUGGAACUGAGAUACGGUCCAGACUCCUACGGGAGGCAGCAGUGGGGAAUAUUGGACAAUGGGCGAAAGCCUGAUCCAGCUAUGCCGCGUGAGUGAAGAAGGCCUUCGGGUUGUAAAACUCUUUCAAUAGGGAAGAUAAUGACGGUACCUAUAAAU
This 362-nucleotide ribosomal RNA is filed under the name Ehrlichia canis. RNAcentral's name for it is "bacterial SSU rRNA". It matches the Rfam family "Bacterial small subunit ribosomal RNA", at positions 89 to 486 of the family's 1533-position model. Lineage: Bacteria; Pseudomonadati; Pseudomonadota; Alphaproteobacteria; Rickettsiales; Anaplasmataceae. The record is from RNAcentral.